UACGUAGGGACCGAGCGUUGUCCGGAAUCAUUGGGCGUAAAGAGCGUGUAGGCGGCCACUUAAGUCCUGCGUGAAAUCUUGCGGCUCAACCGCAAGCGGUCGUGGGAAACUGGGUGGCUAGAGUGCGGGAGAGGAGAGUGGAAUUCCUGGUGUAGCGGUGGAAUGCGCAGAUAUCAGGAAGAACACCCGUGGCGAAGGCGGCUCUCUGGAACGCAACUGACGCUGAGACGCGAAAGCGUGGGAGCAAACAGG
This 252-nucleotide ribosomal RNA is filed under the name uncultured bacterium. RNAcentral's name for it is "partial 16S ribosomal RNA". It matches the Rfam family "Bacterial small subunit ribosomal RNA", at positions 524 to 776 of the family's 1533-position model. The record is from RNAcentral.